Molecule: small nuclear RNA, 84 nt
Filed under: Myotis lucifugus (little brown bat)
Lineage: Eukaryota; Metazoa; Chordata; Mammalia; Chiroptera; Vespertilionidae
Description: U4 spliceosomal RNA (ENSMLUG00000028450.1)
Rfam family: U4 spliceosomal RNA
About the family: U4 small nuclear RNA (U4 snRNA) is a component of the major U2-dependent spliceosome.
Source: RNAcentral
AGCUUUGCGCAGUGGCAGUAUCGUAGCCAAUGAGGUUUAUCCGAGGCACGAUUAUUACUAAUUAAAAAAAAUGCUGCCAAUUAA